Molecule: ribosomal RNA, 375 nt
Filed under: uncultured eukaryote
Lineage: Eukaryota
Description: SSU rRNA
Rfam family: Eukaryotic small subunit ribosomal RNA
Source: RNAcentral
AGCUCCAAUAGCGUAUAUUAAAGUUGUUGCAGUUAAAAAGCUCGUAGUUGGAUUUCUGGCAGAGUGACUCCGGCCAGCAGUUCGCUUGGUUAGGAGCGCCCUACCAUCCUUCGGUUAACCUUUACGGAAUUCACUUUCUGUGCUGGGGCUCCGAUAUUUUACCUUGAGAAAAUUAGAGUGUUUCAGGCAGGCUAUAGCCGGAAUACAUUAGCAUGGAAUAAUAGAAAAGGACUACUACCUCUUCUGUUGGUCUGGGAGGCAGCAGUAAUGAUUAAUAGGGAUAGUUGGGGGCAUUAGUACUUAACUGUCAGAGGUGAAAUUCUCCGAUUUGUUAAAGACUAACUUAUGCGAAAGCAUUUGCCAAGGAUGUUUUCA